CACAGGGUUCAGUUUAGACAUGUUAUGUUUCUACAGGGUUCUGUUUAGACAUGUUAUGUUUCUACAGGGUUCUGUUUAGACAGGUUAUGUUUCUACAUGGUUCAGCUUAGACAGGUUAUGUUUCUACAUGGUUCAGUUUAGACAGGUUAUAUUUCUACAGGGUUCAGUUUAGACAGGUUAUGUUUCUACACGGUUCAGUUUAGACAGGUUAUAUUUCUACAUGGUUCAGCUUAGACAGGUUAUGGUUCUACAUGGUUCAGCUUAGACAGGUUAUAUUUCUACAGGGUUCUGUUUAGACAGGUUAUGUUUCUACAUAGUUCAGUUUAGACAGGUUAUUUUUCUACAUGGUUCAGCUUAGACAGGUUAUAUUUCUACAGGGUUCUGUUUAGACAGGUUAUGUUUCUACAUAGUUCAGUUUAGACAGGUUAUGUUUCUACAUGGUUCAGCUUAGACAGGUUAUAUUUCUACGGGGUUCUGUUUAGACAGGUUAUGUUUCUACAGGGUUCUGUUUAGACAGGUUAUGUUUCUACAUGGUUCAGCUUAGACAGGUUAUGUUUCUACAUGGUUCAGUUAAGACAGGUUAUGUUUCUACAGUGUUCAGUUAAGACAGGUUAUGUUUCUACGAGGUUCAGUUUAGACAGGUUAUGUUUCUACAGGGUUCAGUUUAGAAAGGUUAUAUGUCUACAUAGUUCAGUUUAUAUCUCUACAUAGUUCAGUUUAGAAAGGUUACGUUUCUACAGUGUUCAGUUUAGACAGGUGAUGUUUCUAGUGUUCAGUUUAGACAGGUUAUGUUUCUACACGGUUCAGUUAAGACAGGUUAUGUUUCUACUGGGUUCAGUUUAGACAGGUUAUAUUUCUACAUGGUUCAGCUUAGACAGGUUAUGUUUCUACAGGGUUCUGUUUAGACAGGUUAUGUUUCUACAUAGUUCAGUUUAGACAGGUUAUGUUUCUACAUGGUUCAGCUUAGACAGGUUAUAUUUCUACGGGGUUCUGUUUAGACAGGUUAUGUUUCUACAGGGUUCAGUUUAGACAGGUGAUGUUUCUACAGGGUUCAGUUUAGACAGGUUAUAUUUCUACAUGGUUCAGUUUAGACAGGUGAUGUUUCUACAUGGUUCACUUUAGACAGGUGAUGUUUCUACAUGGUUCAGUUUAGACAGGUUAUAUUUCUACAGGGUUCAGUUUAGACAGGUUAUGUGUCUACACGGUUCAGUUUAGACAGGUUAUAUUUCUACAGGGUUCAGUUUAGACAUGUUAUAUUUCUACAGGGUUCAGUUUAGACAGGUUAUAUUUCUACAGGGUUCAGUUUAGACAGGUGAUGUUUCUACAGGGUUCAGUUUAGACAGGUUAUAUUUCUACACGGUUCAGUUUAGACAGGUUAUAUCUCUACAUAGUUCAGUUUAGAAAGGUUACGUUUCUAUGAGGUUUCGUUAAAACAAGUGACACUGUUGAUACACAUUCAGUUUAGAGAGGUUUUAAGAUUGUUCAGGUUACGCAAUUUGCGCUACUUAUACAGGGUUCAGUGUAGACUAAUACAAAUGCUUACAACUGUGUCAUGUUCGAGGUUUAUUGAACGAAUGUAUUCAUGCUGAUUUCAAACCGAAAUCGGAGAACUUUUACAUUAUGUACAUACAUUUGCAUGUGUGUACACAAUACACAGGAGGCUGUGGCUGUUUGUAGUAUUGAUGAUUUACCAACAUGAGCGUAUAAUUGUAUUUUGAUCUGUGUAACAUGUGUAGCUUGUGCUAUUGUAUCAUACCAUUACAAGGACCAGCCCACAACAGAUAUUUUGAUCGCUGAAGGUGUACGUGUUCAAAUGGAAAUAUAAAUACAUGUGUACAUAUUAGCAUUAAAGUGUUUUGAGUUGAUACACAUUUUUACAUGUACCGUGGUGCAGAACCAUUGUUUUAAUCCGUUACUGUGUCAGUUUCGACCAUCUCGUAUAUAUUUGUUUCAAACUGUUGUAAAUAAAACUCUUAUAUUUGAAUGCUUAAAAUAUUUUUUUUUUAUUUAUUUUACAACAAUUGCGAAUCAAGUUAUAUCAAUUGAUAUUAAACCCGGUUGUUGGCGCGGAUGGAAGCGUGUGAGGGACCUUUCUGUGGCAGGAAACCGGAGUACCCGGGGAGGACCCACGUGGUCGGGCAGGUGACCCAUACCUUUCCACGUCCGAUCGGGGAAUCGAAACCCGGCCGCCUUGGUUAAUGGCAACUGUGAAUGCUUAUUUUCAUUUAGUUUAAACUUCAUUUCUUUCCUUGGUACAGAACAUGGUGUAUUAUGUAAGAUAUAUAUAUAUAUAAAGGAUUCAGAAACAAGUGGUAUACCUUAAGUUGAUUAUACAUCAAUGCAAUUUGAUUAAAACACAGAUGAUCACGUUAUACGAUUGUGUUGAGGAUCCUUAACACGAUAGUAUAAGGUGAUGAUCGGUAUUCUAAUCAGAUUGAUCUCGACUGAUUCCGAUAUCCUUCGUCAUCUUGCCGAGAUGUGACUAACGAGGCAUGUGUAUUAGCGUGAGAAGAUGAUCAAUACAAUUGUUUUGUAUCUGGGAACAUCACCAUGCUUAAACAUAAAAA
Pecten maximus is the source of this 2567-nucleotide long non-coding RNA. RefSeq lists it as uncharacterized. The transcript has 2 exons. Lineage: Eukaryota; Metazoa; Mollusca; Bivalvia; Pectinida; Pectinidae. The record is from RefSeq and is a predicted model, not a curated record.